CGGCGCACGGGUGCGUAACGCGUAUACAAUCUACCUUGUACUGAGGGAUAGCCUUUGGAAACGAAGAUUAAGACCUCAUAGUAUAUAGAUCUGGCAUCAGGACUAUAUUAAAGGUUACGGUACAAGAUGAGUAUGCGUCCUAUUAGCUAGAUGGUGUGGUAACGGCACACCAUGGCAACGAUAGGUAGGGGCCCUGAGAGGGGGAUCCCCCACACUGGUACUGAGACACGGACCAGACUCCUACGGGAGGCAGCAGUGAGGAAUAUUGGGCAAUGGAGGCAACUCUGACCCAGCCAUGCCGCGUGCAGGAAGACUGCCCUAUGGGUUGUAAACUGCUUUUAUACAGGAAGAAACCGCUCUACGUGUAGAGCCUUGACGGUACUGUAAGAAUAAGGAUCGGCUAACUCCGUGCCAGCAGCCGCGGUAAUACGGAGGAUCCAAGCGUUAUCCGGAAUCAUUGGGUUUAAAGGGUCCGUAGGUGGAUUAAUAAGUCAGAGGUGAAAUCCUGCAGCUCAACUGUAGAACUGCCUUUGAUACUGUUAAUCUUGAGUCAUUAUGAAGUGGUUAGAAUGUAUAGUGUAGCGGUGAAAUGCAUAGAUAUUACACAGAAUACCGAUUGCGAAGGCAGAUCACUAAUAAUGUACUGACACUGAGGGACGAAAGCGUGGGGAGCGAACAGGAUUAGAUACCCUGGUAGUCCACGCCGUAAACGAUGGUCACUAGCUGUUCGGACUUCG
This 737-nucleotide ribosomal RNA is filed under the name uncultured Flavobacteriales bacterium. Its description in RNAcentral is "bacterial SSU rRNA". It matches the Rfam family "Bacterial small subunit ribosomal RNA", at positions 96 to 833 of the family's 1533-position model. The record is from RNAcentral. Lineage: Bacteria; Pseudomonadati; Bacteroidota; Flavobacteriia; Flavobacteriales.